This 576-nucleotide ribosomal RNA is filed under the name Celeribacter sp. Its description in RNAcentral is "bacterial SSU rRNA". It matches the Rfam family "Bacterial small subunit ribosomal RNA", at positions 225 to 813 of the family's 1533-position model. Lineage: Bacteria; Pseudomonadati; Pseudomonadota; Alphaproteobacteria; Rhodobacterales; Roseobacteraceae. The record is from RNAcentral.
AUCGGCCCGCGUUAGAUUAGUUAGUUGGUGGGGUAAUGGCCUACCAAGACUACGAUCUAUAGCUGGUUUGAGAGGAUGAUCAGCAACACUGGGACUGAGACACGGCCCAGACUCCUACGGGAGGCAGCAGUGGGGAAUCUUAGACAAUGGGGGCAACCCUGAUCUAGCGAUGCCGCGUGAGUGAUGAAGGCCUUAGGGUCGUAAAGCUCUUUCGCCUGUGAUGAUAAUGACAGUAGCAGGUAAAGAAACCCCGGCUAACUCCGUGCCAGCAGCCGCGGUAAUACGGAGGGGGUUAGCGUUGUUCGGAAUUACUGGGCGUAAAGCGCACGUAGGCGGAUUAGUCAGUCAGAGGUGAAAUCCCAGGGCUCAACCCUGGAACUGCCUUUGAUACUGCUAGUCUUGAGUUCGAGAGAGGUAAGUGGAAUUCCGAGUGUAGAGGUGAAAUUCGUAGAUAUUCGGAGGAACACCAGUGGCGAAGGCGGCUUACUGGCUCGAUACUGACGCUGAGGUGCGAAAGUGUGGGGGAGCAAACAUGGAUUAAAUAUCCCUGGCUAGUCCGCACCGUAAAACGAUGAA